GAUGAACGCUGGCGGCGUGCCUAAUACAUGCAAGUCGAGCGAAGAGACGCGGAGCUUGCUCCUCUGACGUUAGCGGCGGACGGGUGAGUAACACGUGGAUAACCUAUCUAUAAGACUGAGAUCACUUCGGGAAACCGGAGCUAGUACCGGAUACUAUCUUGAACGGCAUGGUUCAAUAGUGAAAGACGGUUUUGCUGUCCCGUAUAGAUGGUUCCGCGCCGCAUUAGCUAGUUGGUAAGGUACAGGCUUCCCAAAGCAACGAUGCGUAGCCGACCUGAAAGGGUGACCGGCCCCAGUGGAACUGAGAGACGGUCCAGACUCCUACGGGAGGCAGCAGGCGGGAAUCUACCGCAAUGGGCGAAAGCCUGACGCAACAACGCCGCGUGAGGGAUGAAGGUCGUCGUAUCGUAAAACUCGGUUGUUGGGGAAGAACAAAGGUGUAAGGAAAGAUGCACGUCGUGACGAUACCUAAUCAGAAGGCCACGGCUAACGACGUG
RNAcentral lists this ribosomal RNA (497 nucleotides) under uncultured bacterium. RNAcentral describes it as "partial 16S ribosomal RNA". It matches the Rfam family "Bacterial small subunit ribosomal RNA", at positions 28 to 507 of the family's 1533-position model. The record is from RNAcentral.